This 468-nucleotide ribosomal RNA is filed under the name uncultured bacterium. RNAcentral's name for it is "partial 16S ribosomal RNA". It matches the Rfam family "Bacterial small subunit ribosomal RNA", at positions 28 to 507 of the family's 1533-position model. The record is from RNAcentral.
GACGAACGCUGGCGGCGUGCUUAACACAUGCAAGUCGAACGGAAAGGCCCUGCUUUUGUGGGGUGCUCGAGUGGCGAACGGGUGAGUAACACGUGAGUAACCUGCCCUUGACUUUGGGAUAACUUCAGGAAACUGGGGCUAAUACCGGAUAGGAGCUCCUGCUGCACGGAGGGGGUGGGAAAGUUUCGGCGGUCGGGGAUGGACUCGCGGCUUAUCAGCUUGUUGGUGGGGGAGUGGCUUACCAAGGCUUUGACGGGUAGCCGGCCUGAGAGGGUGACCGGCCACAAUGGGACUGAGAGACGGACCAGACUCGUACGGGAGGCAGCAGUGGGGAGUAUUGCACAGUGGGCGGAAGCCUGAGGCAGCAACGCCGCGUGCGGAAUGUCGGCCUUCGGGUUGUGAACCGCUUUCGCCUGUGACGAAGCGUGAGUGACGGUAAUGGGUGAAGAAGCACCGGCUAACUACGUG